AACCUGUUUGCUGUGGAGCAGGCAGCAGUCACAGUUCUGGCAGUGGAUGGUGUCUGUUCCCCAGCAUCAAGUGCUCUGAAGAUGUCAGUGCACAGUGGUUGCCUCAGUGUGAUUUUAACCUGGUCGCAGGCUGGCACAUCCCAGGAGCAUCGAUGGAACAGACCACUGGACUCCCCGAGGUAUCCUGGGGUCCGCAAGAGUUCCUGGGUCAAGGAGAUGGCAAGCACCGAGCCCCACACAACGCGCCACUCUGUAGCAGCCACUGGGCAGGACAGUCCUUGAUCAGUGCUGAGCGAGUGACCAGGGACAGCAGCAGCACUUUGUGUCCAACGCAUGGGCAGAAGGGGCAGGUGGCACUUUCCAAGAAGGUGAACUGUGCACCCGCAGCUGGAGGCUGCCCUUCACCUCUGCACCCGCUGCCAUUGGCCCCUUCGUCACGGGCCUGGGGCUGUCUGGAGACACCCGCUGUGGGCACCCAACUGAUUAUCAGCUUACAUGGAAAACAAGCACCAGGAAAUGAGGACGACGGUGAGGCCAAACAUUUUAAAUUCCAGAUCCAUUGCUCAACUUUAAUGAACCAGAGCAUGUAGAAGCCUAUUUUUUUGGCUGCUGCAGGAGUUUUAUGGGUGUGCACUUUUGGGUACUGAUUGCCAUAGAGGCAUUUCCUCCCACUUCUUCCCCUGCCCACCACGCAGCAGGGAUCUGACCCUGAGUGGGUCAGGAACCUGGUUGCAGCAUCUUGCCCCAUGACAUCUUGCCUGUUGCACUUGUCCCAGUUUCCUCGGGUCAUUUUCAAGAGAGUCAUGACUUUGAAGUUGACUUGUUCGUCGCAAACUCAUUUUCAAGUGUCUGCUGUGUACAGACAGCCCUCUCAUGGGGGUGGGCUGAGAAGUGGGGAGGUGCUGGGGGAAAGCAUGCUGCUUCCCACAGCAAUGCCUUCGGCUGGCAGAGGGGCACUCACGGGAUUGGGCAGAUGGGUGAGGGCAGUCUUGCUGGAUCAGAGGUCAGCAAGGAAGCCCACAGGCUGCAGAAGUGGGGCUCAGGGAAGAUAUGGGAGAUGAGAGGACAGAGGAGAUGAGAAGCCCACGAGAGUGACAGAGACCAAGGCCACACUGCUCCGGCUCUCUGAGGUCGGUCAGUCUGGGCGGCUGUCCACAGCACCGUCCCUGAAGUCCCUUGGCGGUGGGUACACACACACAUGAAUGUACGAGAAUUUGCCAUCUGGCUAUUGAGACAGGAGCAGGGACAGCAUAAAAACAGCUACAUGUUGGGUUGGGGGUGAAGCAGUAUAAGCUGUGGAGGCCACCGCAGGGCCCCACCACAAGCCCAAUGUCGAGGUCAUUUCUGCAGGGUGCUGACCAAGGCCUCUGGGAGCCACACCUUGGUCAGGCACUGCGACACCCCAUUCUGUAGCUCCCUCUGAUCACACCUCCACCUCACCAUCUUCCCCUCAGUGAAGGAAGGCAUCUUCCCUUUCAGUCAACAACUGCCAUUUGGGCCAAAUUAGCCCAUGUUAGUAUGGGCAAAUGACAGCUUCCUUGCCUCUCCUGGGCCCAUGGAAAGAGGGCUGGGGUCAGAUCUGCAGGCACCUCCUGUGUCCAUGUGUGCAUCUCUGAGAGCCUGGCCUCUCUGGUCUCACCUGUCUGUCUUGGGAGGAAAUGCAGAGAGUUGAGUUCACACCUAAAAGGGUGUCAGUAAUCCAGCUAGGAGUGCAUUUCAAUAACUUAAGCAUAUUCGUUUUUAAUUUAUACAUCUUUAACUGGUAUAUAAAAGCUGUACGUACUAAUGGAUAAUGUGAUGUUUUAGUAACGUAUGCAUUGUGUAAUGUUUAAACCAAGUUAAACAUGGCUAUCUAAGUGGUAAUAGAAAAAAACCCUGAAAAUCCUUUAUCCUAGCUUUUUGAAGUGCAGUAUAUUAGUGACCCCUCAUUAUCCUACAAUGCCACACACACCAGAGUUUUAGCUCCUCUUAACCAAAUUCCCAGGAUCAAGCAAGGGACACCAGGAGGCGCUGUGCUCUUUGCUUUCCAACCUCACCUUGGUUUGUAGUCAACUUGUGACUGGGCCUGAGCUUUGUGCCACUUCCCUAAAUCCAGUGUGUGCAGCUCCAACCCUGUGCUGUUUCCUGUAGAGGAGGAGAGAAAACAGCCCCAUCCGGAGGCCCAGGGAGGAAGCUGUGAGGUGAAGAAGUGCCUGCCCCUCCCCAUGCCCCAUCCCAAGAUGCUGAGCUGAGAGGUAAUUGCUCACUGGAGUGUGUCCUGAUGUGCACAUGGAGCUGUCAUCGGAGUUCAAGGUCCUAUCACCAACUCCACCGAGCAGAUCCUUAUUCCUGCUCUUUGCCUCAGUGUCCACACAGCAGUGUCCUUUCAGCUCGAGCAGCACAUCUUGAGGAAGGCCUAGGAUCACUGUCGCUGAUCGGAAGCCCUGCAUCACAGUUCCUGAGAAACUUGGGCGCAUUGUCUAACAGCCAACCUUUGUGUUUGCUAGAAGAAAGACCAGCAGCUGCCAGAUUCAAAAUAGAACGUGAAUCAUGUCGCAGGAACCCUGAUUGACCCGAGCACACUCAUUGUGCAAUGCCCUUUGAGGACGGAGAGAUAAGCGGAUCCUCCCGGUGAUGGUCACUGUCUUGGAACCGCAGCACAGCAGGUCCAGCCUCUCCCCAGCUCCCUGUGUUUCUGUAGUGCCACACGUCCAGAGGGACCAGAUCCUUCAGGGGAAGCGAAUGCAGAGCCUCCCAGAAGAGCCACUUUUUUACAGCGAAUCACUGUCUCUGCUGUGUCCAUCUCCCAGCCUGCUGGUUUCAUGCAGUGAUGUUUAACUGUGUUUUGUUUUGUUUUGUUUUGUUCUUCUUCUUCUUCAUACCUGGCCUAAAUUCUUAAUGGCAUGACACAGUUUUCCACAGUGAAGCACAAAAAUUAGCACACUGAAGGAUUCAGUGCUUGACAGGUUUAUAGUUCGUGCAUAUGAGGAAUAGUAUCUUCUGCUCCAAAGCUUUAAUUCUGUCUUGGUGUAAGUGACUUUUUUUUCCCUGUGGUGCUGGGAUGGAGCCCAGGGUAUAACGCAUGCUGGGCACACACUCACCUGUGAGCCACACCCCAGCCUGAUGUGACCCAUCUUUGCAGGUCCAGUCCUCCCCUUGGACAUCGAGAAUUGUUCAGGACAUGGGUGAUGUGCAAAAUCUGGCCACCUUACGUUCUACUUCUUUAUACCAUCAGCAUAGUCUUGCACUUACACAAAAUAGGUUUUCAAGAAAUACUUGUGAAUUUUUUUAUUUUUAAUUUUUAUUGUAGUAAAUGUCUCAUAACAAAAUUUUUGUUGAAGUUGAGCAGUGUUAGAUAAAUCCACAGUGCUGUGCAAUCCAGUAAGUUGUCUUAAGGCAGAGCACAACUAACAUCUCAAUGGGUCUCGAGCAGUGUCUCCUCCCUUCAGCUUUGAAAAGUAGCUCUGAGCAAAAUCCAUAGGCAAUAAACUAUAAGGACCACUUAGGAAAAGCCAUGAGGCUGCUUCAUCUUUUCUUUUCCUGGUCAGUUAGGAGGGAGCUGGGCCGGUGGCUGGGCAGGGCCAGUGGAGAUACUCAGGGCGCAUCUGAGGACCUGACAACACCCCUCGCCUCCACACUGCCCCCUUGUUGAUCCUCAAAAAUGUCAAGCUUGUAAGGUCCUUUCCAGCAGUUCCUACCUCUUCCUCAAAGGAUCUUCUUACAUUACGCAUCACACUGAGCAACAGAACAGCUUGUGGAGCUCAACUGGAGGCCACAGCCAGGCCAAUGCCCAUUAAAUCACAGUCUCUGGACUUUUUUUUUGGUACUGGAAAUCGAACUCGGAACCUUAUGCUGCGAGGCAGGUGAUGGAACCGCAGAGCUAAGACCCCUGCCCAAGUCUCUGGGCUCUUAAUGAUGAGUAUUUUAAAAAAGAAAAUCCCUCCCCUGGCUUUCCACUGUGCUGUCCUUCUGAGAGGAGCAUUUCUGGAAUGCAGAUUCUAGUCCUGUUUCCUGGGAGAGCAGCAGGAGCCACCCCACACCCAGGCCAUGCACCCUAAAUAUCCUCACCACCCAAAGAGCUGGGCUCACUGGAGAAAAGGCUGCUUCAAGGUGGAGGCAGGGAAAGCUUCAGAAGAGCUGGAAACAUUGUACCAGGAAGCAAGAAAGUGCAUCCGGAAUGAUGGACACACAUGAGGCAUAGGGGCCAAUUUCAGGGAGCAGCCUGCUGGGAGGUGAAUCUGAUGCUAAUGGAGUCUGCUGCAUGAGCUACAAAUCCCGGGUUCCUUGUUACAUAAAGAAACUAAUGACUGGUUUAUAUUUUUAAAUAGUUUAAAAGACCUACUUAUUGAACCCUGCUAAGGUAUAUACUUAUUCCCAUCAAGUACUGCCGUGUAAAGUUGAAUUCCAAACUUCAUUUCCUGUUACUUCUAGCUUUUUUCCUUUUUGAGAUUUUUCUACUUUUGCAUCUAAAAGAAGCAAGCUUUCAUCAGCUUGCUUGCUUGCUU
Fukomys damarensis (Damara mole-rat) is the source of this 4484-nucleotide long non-coding RNA. RefSeq lists it as uncharacterized. The record is from RefSeq and is a predicted model, not a curated record. Lineage: Eukaryota; Metazoa; Chordata; Mammalia; Rodentia; Bathyergidae. The transcript is spliced from 3 exons.